GAGGGUAUAGCUUAGUGGCAGAGCACAUGCUUAGCAUGCAUGAGGUCCUGGGUUCAAUCCCCAGUACUGCCU
RNAcentral lists this transfer RNA (72 nucleotides) under Camelus bactrianus (Bactrian camel). It matches the Rfam family "tRNA". From Rfam's summary of the family: Transfer RNA (tRNA) molecules are approximately 80 nucleotides in length. Their secondary structure includes four short double-helical elements and three loops (D, anti-codon, and T loops). RNAcentral also lists the same sequence under 1 other name. The record is from Rfam by way of RNAcentral. Lineage: Eukaryota; Metazoa; Chordata; Mammalia; Artiodactyla; Camelidae.